Molecule: long non-coding RNA, 747 nt
Organism: Talpa occidentalis (Iberian mole)
Lineage: Eukaryota; Metazoa; Chordata; Mammalia; Eulipotyphla; Talpidae
Exons: 5
Source: RefSeq, a predicted model, not a curated record
AGAAGGUCUUGGAUGAUGACACCGCAGCUGAUAGCCUGGUUGUUUGGCAAACAUGUUACAUAGUCCCUCCCUUUUUUUCCUGCGGCUAGUUCUUUAUUCUAAGUGCAAAACAUACAUUGGAUCUAAUUUGUGUGGCUGUGCCUUUGCUGCAAGUGUUACUAAAACAACAACAUUGUGGACUGAGCUCUCUGCAUGUUCAUGGCACAUAAUCUGCUUACUAGAAAAUCUAUGACAGAAAAAAAAAAAAGGAAACCAAACAAAGCACCAUGAACAUAUUUCUGAAAAGAGCAGCAGACAGCAGAUUCCUCAGGAAAGAUCCCGAAAGAAGGUAUGGUUGCCAUAGGAGAUGACAGACCCUUGCAGGUUAUAGCUCCUGAAGACCCUCCAAGGGGAUGAGGUUUAUCAACUCAGCUAAUUCACAACAGUGAGAAUGGCAACAACACAGACUAUGAUGGUUCUUCCUGACAGGUACUGUGAGGAAUACAUUCCUGAUCAAGUUACCCUGCAAUUAAUGACAGCAGAGGCUUCUUUGAGAUGUUUCCUGGCAGGACUAUAUAAAUAACAAAUUUGCCACAGCACAACUUUCGGUGUGAAAGAUAUUCAUUGUGCUUGCUUUGGAUGGAAAGACCAGCCAUUCUCCCCUUUGUGAGUCAGUGUCUCACCAACUCAGAAGCAGAAGGUAGGACAGAGUCAAGUUUUAAAAGGAAAAUUGGGACACACAUCACUCUUGCAGAGAACAUGAAUCAG